CGUGUGGUUCUAUUUUGUUGGUUUCUAGGACCGCCGUAAUGAUUAAUAGGGACAGUCGGGGGCAUCAGUAUUCAAUUGUCAGAGGUGAAAUUCUUGGAUUUAUUGAAGACUAACUACUGCGAAAGCAUUUGCCAAGGAUGUUUUCAUUAAUCAGGAACGAAAGUUAGGGGAUCGAAGACGAUCAGAUACCGUCGUAGUCUUAACCAUAAACUAUGCCGACUAGGGAUCGGACGAUGUUAUUUUUUGACUCGUUCGGCACCUUACACGAAAGUACAAGUUUCUGGGUUCCGGGGGGAGUAUGGUCGCAAGGCUGAAACUUAAAGAAAUUGACGGAAGGGCACCACCAGGGGUGGAGCCUGCGGCUUAAUUUGACUCAACACGGGGAAACUCACCAGGUCCAGACACGACGAGGAUUGACAGAUUGAGAGCUCUUUCUUGAUUUCGUGGGUGGUGGUGCAUGGCCGUUCUUAGUUGGUGGAGUGAUUUGUCUGCUUAAUUGCGAUAGCGAACGAGACCUUAACCUGCUAAAUAGCCCGCGUUGCUUUGGCAGCGCGCCGGCUUCUUAGAGGGACUAUCGGCUCAAGCCGACGGAAGUUUGAGGCAAUAACAGGUCUGUGAUGCCCUUAGAUGUUCUGGGCUGCACGCGCGUUACACUGACGGAGCCAGCGAGUACUUCCUUGGCCGAAAGGCCCGGGUAAUCUUGUUAAACUCCGUCGUGC
RNAcentral lists this ribosomal RNA (719 nucleotides) under uncultured fungus. RNAcentral describes it as "SSU rRNA". It matches the Rfam family "Eukaryotic small subunit ribosomal RNA", at positions 827 to 1570 of the family's 1831-position model. Lineage: Eukaryota; Fungi. The record is from RNAcentral.